Molecule: ribosomal RNA, 497 nt
Filed under: uncultured bacterium
Lineage: Bacteria
Description: partial 16S ribosomal RNA
Rfam family: Bacterial small subunit ribosomal RNA
Source: RNAcentral
GAUGAACGCUGGCGGCGUGCCUAAUACAUGCGAGUCGAGCGAACAGACGAGGAGCUUGCUCCUCUGACGUUAGCGGCGGACGGGUGAGUAACACGUGGAUAACCUACCUAUAAGACUGGGAUAACUUCGGGAAACCGGAGCUAAUACCGGAUAAUAUAUUGAACCGCAUGGUUCAAUAGUGAAAGACGGUUUUGCUGUCACUUAUAGAUGGAUCCGCGCCGCAUUAGCUAGUUGGUAAGGUAACGGCUUACCAAGGCAACGAUGCGUAGCCGACCUGAGAGGGUGAUCGGCCACACUGGAACUGAGACACGGUCCAGACUCCUACGGGAGGCAGCAGUAGGGAAUCUUCCGCAAUGGGCGAAAGCCUGACGGAGCAACGCCGCGUGAGUGAUGAAGGUCUUCGGAUCGUGAAACUCUGUUAUUAGGGAAGAACAAAUGUGUAAGUAACUAUGCACGUCUUGACGGUACCUAAUCAGAAAGCCACGGCUAACUACGUG